UACGGAAGGCAGCAGUGGGGAAUAUUGCACAAUGGGCGCAAGCCUGAUGCAGCCAUGCCGCGUGUAUGAAAAAGGCCUUCGGGUUGUAAAGUACUUUCAGUCGUGAGGAAGGUGUUAAGGUUAAUAACCUUAGCAAUUGACGUUAGCGACAGAGGAAGCACCGGCUAACUCCGUGCCAGCAGUCGCGGUAAUACGGAGGGUGCGAGCGUUAAUCGGAAUUACUGGGCGUAAAGGGCACGCAGGCGGUUAAUUAAGUUGGAUGUGAAAUCCCCGGGCUUAACCUGGGAAUGGCAUUCAAGACUGGUUAGCUAGAGUCUUGUAGAGGGGGUAGAAUUCCAUGUGUAGCGGUGAAAUGCGUAGAGAUGUGGAGGAAUACCGGUGGCGAAGGCGGCCCCUGGACAAAGACUGACGCUCAUGUGCGAAAGCGUGGGGAGCAAACAGGGAUUAGAUACC
Molecule: ribosomal RNA, 453 nt
Filed under: uncultured bacterium
Lineage: Bacteria
Description: bacterial SSU rRNA
Rfam family: Bacterial small subunit ribosomal RNA
Source: RNAcentral